This 465-nucleotide ribosomal RNA is filed under the name uncultured bacterium. RNAcentral describes it as "partial 16S ribosomal RNA". It matches the Rfam family "Bacterial small subunit ribosomal RNA", at positions 28 to 507 of the family's 1533-position model. The record is from RNAcentral.
GAUGAACGCUGGCGGCGUGCUUAACACAUGCAAGUCGAACGGAAAGGCCCAAGCUUGCUUGGGUACUCGAGUGGCGAACGGGUGAGUAACACGUGGGUGAUCUGCCCUGCACUUCGGGAUAAGCCUUGGAAACUGGGUCUAAUACCGGAUAGGACCUAAUUUUGGAUGGUGUGGUGGAAAGUAUUUCGGUGUGGGUUGGGCUCGCGGCCUAUCAGCUUGUUGGUGGGGUAAUGGCCUACCAAGGCGUCGACGGGUAGCCGGCCUGGGAGGGUGUACGGCCACAUUGGGACUGAGGUACGCACCAGUCUCCAACGGGAGGCAGCAGUGGGGAAUAUUGCACAAUGGGCGCAAGCCUGAUGCAGCGACGCCGCGUGCGGGAUGACGUCCUUCUGGUUGUAAACUCCUGUCGCUAGGGACGAAGCGCAAGUGACGGUACCUGGAGAAGAAGCACCGGCCAACUACGUG